Molecule: ribosomal RNA, 199 nt
Filed under: uncultured bacterium
Lineage: Bacteria
Description: partial 16S ribosomal RNA
Rfam family: Bacterial small subunit ribosomal RNA
Source: RNAcentral
ACUCCUACGGGAGGCAGCAGUGGGGAAUAUUGCACAAUGGGCGCAAGCCUGAUGCAGCCAUGCCGCGUGUGUGAAGAAGGCCUUCGGGUUGUAAAGCACUUUCAGCGAGGAGGAAGGUGGUGAGCUUAAUACGCUCAUCAAUUGACGUUACUCGCAGAAGAAGCACCGGCUAACUCCGUGCCAGCAGCCGCGGUAAUAC